Molecule: long non-coding RNA, 480 nt
Organism: Sander lucioperca (pikeperch)
Lineage: Eukaryota; Metazoa; Chordata; Actinopteri; Perciformes; Percidae
Exons: 3
Source: RefSeq, a predicted model, not a curated record
GAAGAAAUGAGCAGCUUCGUCUCUCCCAGUGUUUCCUCGACGCAUGAAGGUGGAAAGAGUCUGUAAAUAAACCUGGAGAGAGUUCAGAAGGUGGGAAAUCACUGCAGAAGAAUGUGAUUGGCUGACUACCACCUGUUGGACAAGUUUUGACGUCACUGAUGUGUUUUUUUAAGACUUGAACUGAAGUUAUAAAGGUGUGACAGCAUCCUCAGAUCAGUUGCACGCAGACACCCGGACAGACGAGAAAGAAAUGAGCAGCUUCGUCUCUCCCAGUGUUUCCUCGACACAUGAAGGUGGAAAGAGUCCGUAAAUCAACCUGAAGUGAGUUCAGCAGUUUGAUGUUUAAUUUGACUUGAGGCUCUGUCACAUCCAGUUAUUGGACCAGCCUCCCUGACUGAGUGGCAAGAUCCUCUUUAUUUCAGAGGUACAAUGCAUUUCAUUCUUUUGACCUGUAAAGGUUUCAUUGUCAUGAAUAAUUUG